Molecule: ribosomal RNA, 440 nt
Filed under: uncultured bacterium
Lineage: Bacteria
Description: bacterial SSU rRNA
Rfam family: Bacterial small subunit ribosomal RNA
Source: RNAcentral
GAUGAACGCUGGCGGCGUGCUUAACACAUGCAAGUCGAACGAAGCACUUUAUUACAAUUUCUUCGGAAUGACGAUUUAGUGACUGAGUGGCGGACGGGUGAGUAACGCGUGGGUAACCUGCCUUAUACAGGGGGAUAACAGUUGGAAACGACUGCUAAUACCGCAUAAGCCCACGGCUCGGCAUCGAGCAGAGGGAAAAGGAGUGAUCCGCUUUGAGAUGGCCUCGCGUCCGAUUAGCUAGUUGGUGAGGUAACGGCCCACCAAGGCGACGAUCGGUAGCCGGACUGAGAGGUUGAACGGCCACAUUGGGACUGAGACACGGCCCAGACUCCUACGGGAGGCAGCAGUGGGGAAUAUUGGCACAAUGGGGGAAACCCUGAUGCAGCGACGCCGCGUGGAGGAAGAAGGGUCUUCGGGAUUGUAAACUCCUGUUGUUGAGG